Neofelis nebulosa (Clouded leopard) is the source of this 1509-nucleotide long non-coding RNA. RefSeq lists it as uncharacterized. The transcript is spliced from 3 exons. The record is from RefSeq and is a predicted model, not a curated record. Lineage: Eukaryota; Metazoa; Chordata; Mammalia; Carnivora; Felidae.
UUUGCUGCUAUCUCUAAGAAAAGGGGGUAAAUGGUAUGGGCUAGAACCUUGCGGAUCGGUUUUAAACUUCUCCUGGGGUAUUUACCACGUCCCAGGUCGGAAACGAAACUAACCCACCCCAGCCCCCUUUUUAAGGAAAAACAAUUGCCUCUGUGUCACGGGCAAGUACGAGUCCCGCAGCGCGUGGAGCAGAAAAUGGCUAGCUUUAAGUCAUGCAAAUAAAGGAAAACGGCAGCUCACUGUUCUUCCCUUUCAUCUUGGGACUGCUGGGUGUUCCCUUAGAUGGGGAAUUUAGAACUUCAAACGCUCCGGAAAGGUUUGGACAAGAAAACCGCGCGACCCAGCUCUGAAUUGUUAUUCGGUGGCGUUAUCAGCCAUGUGCUGCUGCUUUUGCUUUUAGCGGUGAAAAUCACACCACACGAGCUUCGGACACACACAAAAAAAUGAAUCUCUGAAAGGCACAAGACAGUUUGAGUGUGAGAGGCUGUGAAGGUCUCAGGAGCUCCAGGACUUUUCUUCCCUCAAAUCAGCCAUAUUCUUCCCUGGAGAGAUUACCUUGAUCUGAGAGCCAAGAAGAUGACAUUGGACCUAAGAUUUGAAGGCAAUGUGGAAGUGAGCCAUGUGAACAUUCUCAGUCUCAGAGAAGAGACUGACAGGCAAGGGGACCAGCCAGGGCAGAGCCCUUGAGGUGAGAGUGUGGCCGAUGUGCUCCAGCGAUAGCCGGAUGGACAGUGAAACUGGAGUGGUAUGAUCAAGGGGGCAAGUAGAACAGGGUGAUGUGAGAGCCAAGAGAGGGCCAAGUACAGGUCGUUGAAGGUCAUUGUAAAGAUUUUGGUUUUACUCUAAAAGAAAUGGGAGGCCAUUGAAGGAUUUUGAAGCUGAGGGGUGAUUUGAUUUGACAUACAUUAAAACGGUAUCACUCUGACUGCUGAGCAAGGGUGGAAUUAGGAAGAAUCAGAGAGACAAUUGGAAAAUUUUUGCAAUAAUGGUGAUACUCAAGGCAGUUGGUAUCAGGGAGGUAGUGGGAGUGCUUAAAUUCUGCAUGUGUUUUAAGGUAGAACCAAAAGAUUUCCUAUUAGACCUCAAGUAGAACGUGAGAAAGAAAGGAGUCAAAACUUGCGGUUCAGUCACUUUCAUUUCAAGAAAUAGUACCUCAGGAAGUAUAUUCAAAUUCAUUUCUUCCCUAUUAGGUCAGACCCAAAGUUCUUAAUUCGGUAAUCUCACAUAUUUAAAAAUAUUGUCCACAGUAAUAAUAAAAACAACACCCUACAACCUGUUAAGCAUCAAGUCCUUUAAUUCAACUACCUCAUGAGGCAGGUAUUAUUUUCCACUAUUUUUACAUGUGUAAACAGAGAUGUGAUUAAUAACCAACAGCUUAGGACCAACCGGAAACAGCCAAAUAUGCACCCCUAACCAUUAUGUAGGAUGCCCUGCUUCUAGUUAGCCCAGCUAUAUCUUCCUCAUGCCAAUAGCCACAUACCUGAAGCCUUCCUCUUUUUUCACCGUAAA